AUGAACGCUAGCGGCAGGCUUAACACAUGCAAGUCGAGGGACCGGCGUAAGGGUGCGUAACGCGUGAGCAACCUGCCCGUAUCAGGGGGAUAACCGAUGGAAACGUCGCCUAAUACCCCAUAAUAAAAGUCAGAUACGGAUGGGCUCGCGUGACAUUAGCUAGUUGGUGUGGUAACGGCACACCAAGGCAACGAUGUCUAGGGGUUCUGAGAGGAAGACCCCCCACACUGGAACUGAGACACGGUCCAGACUCCUACGGGAGGCAGCAGUGAGGAAUAUUGGUCAAUGGGCGGAAGCCUGAACCAGCCAUGCCGCGUGAAGGAAUAAGGUCUAUGGAUCGUAAACUUCUUUUGAGCGGGAGCAUGAGAGUACCGUUCGAAUAAGCAUCGGCUAACUCCGUGCCAGCAGCCGCGGUAAUACGGAGGAUGCAAGCGUUAUCCGGAUUUAUUGGGUUUAAAGGGUGCGUAGGCCGUUGUGCAAGUCAGAGGUGAAAUCGCGGGGCUCAACCCCGUGUCUGCCUUUGAUACUGUAUGACUUGAAUGUUGUUGCCGUGUGAGGAAUGAGUAGUGUAGCGGUGAAAUGCAUAGAUAUUACUCAGAACACCGAUUGCGAAGGCAUCUCACGAAACAAAUUGACGCUGAGGCACGAAAGCGUGGGUAUCCAACAGGAUUAGAUACCCUGGUAGUCCACGCUGUAAACGAUGAUAACUAACCGUCGGCGAGUCGGUGGCCAAGCGAAAGCGAUAAGUUAUCCACCUGGGGAGUACGACCGCAAGGUUGAAACUCAAAGGAAUUGACGGGGGCCCGCACAAGCGGAGGAACAUGUGGUUUAAUUCGAUGAUACGCGAGGAACCUUACCCGGGCUCGAACGGUCGAGGUGCUGCAUGGUUGUCGUCAGCUCGUGUCGUGAGAUGUUGGCUCAAGUGCCAUAACGAGCGCAACCCUUGUCAUUAGUUGCCAUCGGCCGGGCUCUCUAAUGAGACUGCCACCGCAAGGUGGAGGAAGGAGUGGAUGACGUCAAAUCAGCACGGCCCUUACGUCCGGGGCGACACACGUGUUACAAUGGUGACCAGAGGGUAGCCAGCCGGCGACGGCGCGCAAAUCUCAGUCAUCUCAGUUCGGAUGGAGUCUGCAACCCGACUCCAGAAGCUGGAUUCGCUAGUAAUCGCGCAUCAGCCAUGGUGCGGUGAAUACGUUCCCGGGCCUUGUACACACCGCCCGUCAAGCCAUGAAAGCCGAGGGCGCCUGAAGUCCGGCCGGCCUAAGGCGAACUUGGUAAUUGGGGC
Molecule: ribosomal RNA, 1285 nt
Filed under: Bacteroidales genomosp. P1
Lineage: Bacteria; Pseudomonadati; Bacteroidota; Bacteroidia; Bacteroidales
Also listed under: 1 other name
Description: bacterial SSU rRNA
Rfam family: Bacterial small subunit ribosomal RNA
Source: RNAcentral